CACUCUGAGGAGACUGCCGGUGAUAAACCGGAGGAAGGUGGGGAUGACGUCAAGUCAGCAUGGCCUUUAUGUCUGGGGCUACACACGUGCUACAAUGGCCGGUACAAACCGUCGCGAUACCGCAAGGUGGAGCUAAUCGGAGAAAGCCGGUCUCAGUUCGGAUUGCAUCUCUCUAUUAUUGCCUGCAUGAAGUUGGAAUCGCUAGUAAUCGCGGAUCAGCACGCCGCGGUGAAUACGUUCCC
Molecule: ribosomal RNA, 242 nt
Filed under: uncultured Acidobacteriota bacterium
Lineage: Bacteria; Pseudomonadati; Acidobacteriota
Description: uncultured Acidobacteria bacterium partial 16S ribosomal RNA
Rfam family: Bacterial small subunit ribosomal RNA
Source: RNAcentral